This 216-nucleotide long non-coding RNA is filed under the name Ricinus communis (castor bean). RNAcentral's name for it is "long non-coding RNA (RCOM_LNC002515)". Lineage: Eukaryota; Viridiplantae; Streptophyta; Magnoliopsida; Malpighiales; Euphorbiaceae. The record is from RNAcentral.
GAAAAGAAAGAAAGUAAGUGAGCUAAUUGUUUAAUUACUUUUCGGAGUUUACAUUUUGACUUGAUUCCUAUUUCCCACCUUGGACUACUGACCAUUGUUUACCCCUUGUGAUUAUUGUGGCUUGUGUGCAGGUCAUUUAUCUCAUUGCAGAACACCAUAGGUUCAACUCUUACCAAAUUUACCUACCCUUAUCUAAUCCCCAUUACAACCCUUAUA